RNAcentral lists this ribosomal RNA (1313 nucleotides) under Clostridium botulinum. Its description in RNAcentral is "16S ribosomal RNA". It matches the Rfam family "Bacterial small subunit ribosomal RNA", at positions 94 to 1428 of the family's 1533-position model. Lineage: Bacteria; Bacillati; Bacillota; Clostridia; Eubacteriales; Clostridiaceae. The record is from RNAcentral.
AGCGGCGGACGGGUGAGUAACACGUGGGUAACCUGCCUCAAAGUGGGGGAUAGCCUUCCGAAAGGAAGAUUAAUACCGCAUAAUAUGAGAGAAUCGCAUGAUUUUCUUAUCAAAGAUUUAUUGCUUUGAGAUGGACCCGCGGCGCAUUAGCUAGUUGGUAAGGUAACGGCUUACCAAGGCAACGAUGCGUAGCCGACCUGAGAGGGUGAUCGGCCACAUUGGAACUGAGACACGGUCCAGACUCCUACGGGAGGCAGCAGUGGGGAAUAUUGCGCAAUGGGGGAAACCCUGACGCAGCAACGCCGCGUGGGUGAUGAAGGUCUUCGGAUUGUAAAGCCCUGUUUUCUAGGACGAUAAUGACGGUACUAGAGGAGGAAGCCACGGCUAACUACGUGCCAGCAGCCGCGGUAAUACGUAGGUGGCGAGCGUUGUCCGGAUUUACUGGGCGUAAAGGGUGCGUAGGCGGAUGUUUAAGUGGGAUGUGAAAUCCCCGGGCUUAACCUGGGGGCUGCAUUCCAAACUGGAUAUCUAGAGUGCAGGAGAGGAAAGCGGAAUUCCUAGUGUAGCGGUGAAAUGCGUAGAGAUUAGGAAGAACACCAGUGGCGAAGGCGGCUUUCUGGACUGUAACUGACGCUGAGGCACGAAAGCGUGGGUAGCAAACAGGAUUAGAUACCCUGGUAGUCCACGCCGUAAACGAUGGAUACUAGGUGUAGGGGGUAUCAACUCCCCCUGUGCCGCAGUUAACACAAUAAGUAUCCCGCCUGGGGAGUACGGUCGCAAGAUUAAAACUCAAAGGAAUUGACGGGGGCCCGCACAAGCAGCGGAGCAUGUGGUUUAAUUCGAAGCAACGCGAAGAACCUUACCUGGACUUGACAUCCCUUGCAUAGCCUAGAGAUAGGUGAAGCCCUUCGGGGCAAGGAGACAGGUGGUGCAUGGUUGUCGUCAGCUCGUGUCGUGAGAUGUUAGGUUAAGUCCUGCAACGAGCGCAACCCUUGUUAUUAGUUGCUACCAUUAAGUUGAGCACUCUAAUGAGACUGCCUGGGUAACCAGGAGGAAGGUGGGGAUGACGUCAAAUCAUCAUGCCCCUUAUGUCCAGGGCUACACACGUGCUACAAUGGUAGGUACAAUAAGACGCAAGACCGUGAGGUGGAGCAAUACUUAUAAAACCUAUCUCAGUUCGGAUUGUAGGCUGCAACUCGCCUACAUGAAGCUGGAGUUGCUAGUAAUCGCGAAUCAGAAUGUCGCGGUGAAUACGUUCCCGGGCCUUGUACACACCGCCCGUCACACCAUGAGAGCUGGUAACACCCGAAGUC